RNAcentral lists this ribosomal RNA (301 nucleotides) under uncultured bacterium. RNAcentral's name for it is "partial 16S ribosomal RNA". It matches the Rfam family "Bacterial small subunit ribosomal RNA", at positions 509 to 808 of the family's 1533-position model. The record is from RNAcentral.
CAGCAGCCACGGGAAUACGUAGGGUGCAAGCGUUAAUCGGAAUUACUGGGCGUAAAGCGUGCGCAGGCGGUUAUAUAAGACAGAUGUGAAAUCCCCGGGCUCAACCUGGGAACUGCAUUUGUGACUGUAUAGCUAGAGUACGGCAGAGGGGGAUGGAAUUCCGCGUGUAGCAGUGAAAUGCGUAGAUAUGCGGAGGAACACCGAUGGCGAAGGCAAUCCCCUGGGCCUGUACUGACGCUCAUGCACGAAAGCGUGGGGAGCAAACAGGAUUAGAUACCCCGUAGUCCCUGUCUCUUAUACA